UUCCACAUUCAUUAUCUACAAUAGUACGAAGUUCAGUGUCACCAGCAUGUGAAUUUACUGCAGCUCUAAGCUCAUUCAUCAGCCUGUUAUGCUCCUCUAACCAACGUGAAUAUUCUACAUCGAAUGCUAGGGCCCCAUUCCCACUCAUUGAAUGAGCUUGGUCUCCAGAAUUUGAAAUAAAUAUACCCUGCUGGCGGGCCCGCUGGAGUUCUUGCUCAAGUUGAGUAAGCUUCAGUCUGCUACUUUCUAGCUGCUGCACAUAUGCUUUUUUCCUUAAACGGCUUUUUCUAGCAGCUUCGCGAUUUUGAGCAAGCCUUCGUAAGGUCUUCUGAUCUGCUGUUUUUUCUUUUGAUUUGUUGCUAGAAUCAUAUGCGGCAAGUGAGUUUCCUUGAUCCUUGUCAAGCCUUUGACUUUUGUCAUCCGUGUCAUCUGUGGAGGUAUCAGUUCUUGUGCUGGUAUCUGCCAUAUUAGACUCUCCCCAAUUUUCACGAGGACCACCAGAAGUAGAAACCAAAUUUGGAUUUGACUCCUUCUGUAAUGGCAGUGUUCG
RNAcentral lists this unclassified non-coding RNA (550 nucleotides) under Hevea brasiliensis (rubber tree). The record is from RNAcentral. Lineage: Eukaryota; Viridiplantae; Streptophyta; Magnoliopsida; Malpighiales; Euphorbiaceae.